RNAcentral lists this ribosomal RNA (433 nucleotides) under uncultured bacterium. RNAcentral describes it as "partial 16S ribosomal RNA". It matches the Rfam family "Bacterial small subunit ribosomal RNA", at positions 29 to 507 of the family's 1533-position model. The record is from RNAcentral.
AACGAACGCUGGCGGCAUGCCUAACACAUGCAAGUCGAACGAAGCCUUCGUGCUUAGUUGCGCACGGGUGCGUAACGCGUGGUAAUCUGCCCCUUGCUUCGGUAUAACUGUUAUAAAUUACUCCUAAUACCGGAUGAACUCUUCGGUCCAAAGAUUUAUCGGCACGGGAUGAGCCCUCGUAGGAUUAGGUUGUUGGUGUGGUAAAGGCCUACCAAGCCGACGAUCCUUAGCUGUUCUGAGAGGAUGAUCAGCCACACUGGGACUGAGACACGGCACAGACUGGUACGGGAGGGAGCAGUGGGGAAUAUAGGAGAAUGGACGCAAGUAUGAUCAAGAAAUGCCGGGUGAGAGAUGAAGGAGUUAGGGUUGUAAAGAUCUUUUACAAGGGAUGAUAAUGACAGUAAAUGGAGAAUAAGCUCCGGCUAACUCCGUG